AAAAAGAUUUAAGUUAUAAGACUAAAAGCCUUCAAAGCUUAAAGCAGGAGUUUAAAUCUCCUAAUCUUUGAU
This 72-nucleotide transfer RNA is filed under the name Desmognathus conanti. RNAcentral describes it as "tRNA-Trp". It matches the Rfam family "tRNA". Rfam says of the family: Transfer RNA (tRNA) molecules are approximately 80 nucleotides in length. Their secondary structure includes four short double-helical elements and three loops (D, anti-codon, and T loops). The record is from RNAcentral. Lineage: Eukaryota; Metazoa; Chordata; Amphibia; Caudata; Plethodontidae.